This is a long non-coding RNA of Zophobas morio, 397 nucleotides long. RefSeq lists it as uncharacterized. The record is from RefSeq and is a predicted model, not a curated record. NCBI's taxonomy places the organism in Eukaryota, Metazoa, Arthropoda, Insecta, Coleoptera, Tenebrionidae. The transcript has 2 exons.
UUGUUAGACUGUCUAUUAAAUCAUUCGAGUAAUUUUCCUACUGGAGCCACAGUAUAAGGGGGUUCCAUUCUGGAGAGCACAUUGCUUUUUGUCAGAUUUGCUUUUUUGCUUUAACUUAGUAAGGUUGGAAUGGAGUCGACUGUGGGUGAGAACCCACAGCAAUCCUUAAAGUUGGAAGUAAAAUCUAUGGCGGAUUUAAUAUCAGGAUUAAACAGUGCUUGUACAACUAAAUGCCUUCCGCGCCGGUACCACCUGGAUUCCCUUACGGCCAGCGAGUCGGCUUGCUUAGAUCAGUGCGCUAUGAAGUACAUUGGCGUAUGCAAACUGGUUAGAGUUGUGAUGGCUGAACAAAAUCAACAAGUUGCAUAGCUUUCAAUAAAAAAUAAUUGUACUUCGA